CCUCCGGCGCGGCUGCUCCCGGGCGCUUUGUAUCGCUUGCCGCCCCUGCGUGGCCGUGGGAGCGAGUGGGGGCUCCGGGAAGUCGGGGCUUCCCCGGAACCGCUGCCCCGUUUCAGCUGGGGCUGGGGCGCUGUGAAGUUCGGGAGGCGUCGGGACGAGGCUUUUGGGCGAUGGUGCUGACGACCCAGUCUGGCAGCGGGAGUUGUAGGGGAAAGGGCCCUCGGGAGCAGCGGGGCUCGUCUCUUUUCACCCGGUUCGUGGCUUGGCCGGUGCCUCGGCUCCUGAAUGAGGAGAGUGAAUAAAAUGGAAGGCACAGUCAUUCUCUUUGGCUACAGUAAUACUCUAGGUAUGACUUGUAACAAAAAAUGUAAAUAUUUAAAUGGAUUUCUGACUCAGUUCUAUUUGACUUAUUGAUCUAUGGUUACUGCUAAAAUGGCCUGUAUGAUUAUGCAGAAGUUAAUAGUUACCAUAGAGAAAGAGAUUGUUUUUCUGUUCAUCAGUGAGUGUUUUCCAUUUCUUCAUCUCUUGGCAAUUGUCUGUGGAAGUGCUGUUUUUUUCUCUUAGCAAAAGUCUUACAGAAGAAAUAAGAAUGUGAGCGAAGUCCAGAACAAUGAAUUUCAGAUGUGUUCAGCCUUGCCUGUGAUUCUUGGUACCCUGAGUUAUCCUACAGUAAACGCUUUUUAAUCUCUAAUUGCAUAGAGUGUUGGUUUUAAGCCUCGGUGAAAAUUCAGAUUUACAGGACUCUAAACCUAACACAUAAAAGAUUUUUUUUCCUAAAGUAUACAUGUGAAAUGCAAUUCAAAUGAACCAUUUAAAUCCCUACUAGCAGAAAAUCUAUUUUUCAUCUAGGGAAUUACUUUCCUGCAUUUAUUAUUUAGCUUAAAUGUGUGGAAUCUGAAGGCGCAUGUAAACUAGACAGAGCAGACAAGUUUGUUUAUCUUCUCACGUACUGUUGUGAAGCCUUCUGAUUUUUUGUUAGUAGUUUGACAGCAUUAUGCAUUUGGGAAGAAAAAAACCUAAACCAACAAGCCACAUUGGGCUCUUAAAACUUGCCAGACUUCUAAGUCUCACAUUUUAUAGUUUGAUAGAGCUGCUUGGUGUCGGAAUGAUCUGUAAGUAAUUUUCUUUCCUACCAUAAUGGAUAUGAUGGGAUAAAACCUUUCUGAAAUGGUAGUGAAAGUUUUUGCAAAAAUCACUUCCUUCCCCAGGAAUAGAAGCUACUGGGAAAAACAUUUUAUAAUAGAUUUUUUAUUGUGUGUUUGUGAGAGCCUAUUACAGCAUGGUGAAAUAUGUCUUGAAUUC
This 1302-nucleotide long non-coding RNA is filed under the name Zonotrichia albicollis (white-throated sparrow). RNAcentral describes it as "lncRNA (ENSZALG00000006869.1)". The record is from RNAcentral. Lineage: Eukaryota; Metazoa; Chordata; Aves; Passeriformes; Passerellidae.